CCCUUAGAUGUUCUGGGCCGCACGCGCGCUACACUGAUGCAUUCAACGAGUCUAAAACCUGCUCUGAUAGGGGUGGGUAAUCUUUUGAAUAUGUGUCGUGAUGGGGAUAGAUCGUUGCAAUUCUCGAUCUUCAACGAGGAAUUCCUAGUAAACGCAGUUCAUCAGACUGCAUUGAUUACGUCCCUGCCCUUUGUACACACCGCCCGUCGCACCUACCGAUUGAAUGGUCCGGUGAGAAUUUUGGAUUGAUGUUUCGUCGGGUUAACGCCAGACUUUACGUUGAGAAGUUAUUCAAACCUUACCAUUUAGAGGAAGGUGAAGUCGUAACA
This 329-nucleotide ribosomal RNA is filed under the name uncultured eukaryote. Its description in RNAcentral is "partial 18S ribosomal RNA". It matches the Rfam family "Eukaryotic small subunit ribosomal RNA", at positions 1470 to 1796 of the family's 1831-position model. The record is from RNAcentral.